GCUCGUUCGGGAACGAGC
Molecule: ribosomal RNA, 18 nt
Filed under: Salmonella enterica subsp. enterica serovar Typhimurium
Lineage: Bacteria; Pseudomonadati; Pseudomonadota; Gammaproteobacteria; Enterobacterales; Enterobacteriaceae
Description: A-site ASLSufA6 A37.5 from Salmonella enterica subsp. enterica serovar Typhimurium (PDB 6NDK, chain QY)
Source: RNAcentral